Molecule: long non-coding RNA, 1029 nt
Organism: Biomphalaria glabrata
Lineage: Eukaryota; Metazoa; Mollusca; Gastropoda; Planorbidae
Exons: 3
Source: RefSeq, a predicted model, not a curated record
CGUGAUGGUCAUUUAAUCCUGUAGACACGGAAUCCAGGUCUGAGUCGGACAUGUUGUAAAAUUUAUCUUGAAAUGGUUUAAAACCUUUCAAAUCUGCAGAUGGACGAAAUCAUCGAUGCAUGCAACUUCAUAACGUAUCAUUAAAAAGAAAAGCUGAUUAAAAAAAAAAAGAUUCUGCAUGAAAAUGAAGUGACUUUAAAAACUAUCAGAAAGGAAACAAAACAAAAUGAUAAUUUGUACAGAAAUCUUAAAGAGAAGCAGAUGUUCCUUCAGAACUGAAGACUAUUACAUCUUAGCCCAAACCACACACAUGGCUGGAGAUGGUGACAGGAAGGGUUAGAAGCUGGGAACAUCAAGAUGACCUUCCAGUGCCCUUACCACCUGACCAGGGAGCUAUCUAUAUAUAUGCUUGUACAUUUUUAUCAAUACAUGCACACUUUUACUUCGCAAAAUUGCAAUAGCUGAAUUUGACUGACCCUAUCGCUAGUUGGCCUGAACAUUAAUUUAAAUAAGCAAGGCAAAAUUAAGCAACAUAGCAACAAAAUUAAAUAGAUAGGGAGUUCCAAAAUAGUUUUAUUUUUUCCUAUGUUUGGCAUUAAGGAACACAAAAAAUGCAUCUGUACAAACUAGCACAUAAAUGCAAGUAAUCCAGACUUAAAAAAUAAUUUUCUACAUAGACUCUACUUUAUAUUCAAUAGAUCAAUACUGUAAUAUUGUAUGUAUUUUUAUAGUCUAGACCUAUCAUCUAUUCUAUAUAUAUAUUAUUUUAUUUACAUAUAAAUUAUAUUUAUUCUAGAUUUUAAAAUACUUAAUAGUAAUAGACUAUUAAAAUUAUUAUGUCUACAAUCUACACCAAUUACAGUGUUUUCAUUACUAAAAUUUAAAUCUUAUACUUAGUAGUAUAGACAUAGUGAUAGUCUUUUAUAGAUAUAUAGCAGAGAAGCUCUUAAUUCAAAUUCAGAGUUGGCACAGUCAGAGUGUCAAUCAAAUAAAAGACAAGGCAUGAUGUAGGACAAUCCUCACCUCAGC